GUCUAUAGCCAUGCCACCCUGAACAAGCCCGAUGUCUGAUCUCAGAAGUUAAGCAGGGUCAGUUCUGGUUAGUACUUGGAUGGGAGACCACCUAGGAAGACCAGGUGCUGUAGGCA
This 116-nucleotide ribosomal RNA is filed under the name Pteropus alecto (black flying fox). RNAcentral also lists the same sequence under 1 other name. The record is from RNAcentral. Lineage: Eukaryota; Metazoa; Chordata; Mammalia; Chiroptera; Pteropodidae.